UGGGGAAUCUUGGACAAUGGGCGAAAGCCUGAUCCAGCCAUGCCGCGUGAGUGAAGAAGGCCUUAGGGUUGUAAAGCUCUUUUACCCGGGAAGAUAAUGACGGUACCGGGAGAAUAAGCCCCGGCAAACUUCGUGCCAGCAGCCGCGGUAAUACGAAGGGGGCUAGCGUUGUUCGGAUUUACUGGGCGUAAAGCGCACGUAGGCGGAUUGUUAAGUCGGGGGUGAAAUCCUGGAGCUCAACUCCAGAAUUGCCUUCGAUACUGGCUUUCUAGAGGCUGGAAGAGGUUAGUGGAAUUCCCAGUGUAGAGGUGAAAUUCGUAGAUAUUGGGAAGAACACCAGUGGCGAAGGCGGCUAACUGGUCCAGAUCUGACGCUGAGGUGCGAAAGCGUGGGGAGCAAACAGGAUUAGAUACCCCCGUAGUCC
This 424-nucleotide ribosomal RNA is filed under the name uncultured bacterium. RNAcentral's name for it is "bacterial SSU rRNA". It matches the Rfam family "Bacterial small subunit ribosomal RNA", at positions 355 to 796 of the family's 1533-position model. The record is from RNAcentral.